CUAGAAACAUACCCCUGAUUUAUUUGUCAGUUAGUUAGACUGUCAGUCAAUCAUUCAGUCAGUCCGUAAGUUACCAUCUCUUUUCUAAAUAGUCAGUUCUGAAAUAAACUACCAGGGUCCAAGACGAUCCAGUGGCAUUCUACUCUGUUCAGCUGUGUUUCUAAAUUUGCUUUGGAAUAUAAUUCAACAUCAUUUUUAAAUAUUUUAAUUCAUGUUAUUGUCAUGUGAUAAUCGUUUAUUUUCUACUGUUUUUUAUCACAUAAACUGCGGUGUUAUACAGAGAUUUCCGGCCCUGAGAAAAGUCGUAACAACACGUGUGAAAAAAGAUCGUAUUUUUUUCCACGUGUGUUGAUAUAGCCAAUCGGCUGCUGACACGUCACUCGCCUCUGGCGCCACUCGGUCAGGUUCAUGAAUGAACAGCAAGUCUUCACUAUUCUCAAUACAAGUUGUUCGUCGGAGGUUUCUCGAAUUGUUUGCGGCUAAAACACUAAAAAAUCCGUAUCGCUGACAGACAGUGAGGUUCAAAUUUUCCUAGAAGGGGAAGAAAACCAAUAUACUAAAAGAAAAACCGAAAGUUACUUAUUCAGUGGCUUUGGUGUUAGCAUUUCUCUCGGCUGAGAAUGAAAAUCGACAACUGGAAGAUUUGCCACUGACCGAUUUUGGCCGUUUACCUGAAAGACUUCUUCUAUCGGUGUACUUCAUUCUUGUGGUGUACUCAUACAUCGAGACUCCUCCUCCGGAACAAACAUCGUUACAAAUGAGUGGAAGCUCGCACCAUCAAUACGAUGCACUUGCUUGAUUCACCAGAAUCAGUCUUAGAUAUACGCAUGUGCCUGUUGUUGUAACUUUUAGAGACAACAAGACCCGACAUGUAAAUGAGGCUAAUUCAAAUGUAACCGUAAGGGUUCUUUACAAAAACGGAAAAAGGAGGAAGAAAACGUGGUCAGAUAUCAGUUAGGUAGAUCUCAACCGAAAAAAAUAGCGUUUUAUAACAUAUGUAGUAUUGGAAGAGGUAUUUACAUGCAUGAAUAAUGAAGAUUAUAUAAAA
Non-coding RNA from Pocillopora verrucosa, 1048 nucleotides. Lineage: Eukaryota; Metazoa; Cnidaria; Anthozoa; Scleractinia; Pocilloporidae. The record is from RefSeq and is a predicted model, not a curated record.